UAACGGCGAGUGAAGCGGCAACAGCUCAAAUUUGAAAUCUGGCCGCAAGGUCCGAGUUGUAAUUUGCAGAGGAUGCUUUUGGCGAGGUGCCUUCCGAGUUCCCUGGAACGGGACGCCAUAGAGGGUGAGAGCCCCGUACGGUAGGACCACCGAGCCUCUGUAAAGCUCCUUCGACGAGUCGAGUAGUUUGGGAAUGCUGCUCUAAAUGGGAGGUGUACGUCUUCUAAAGCUAAAUACCGGCCAGAGACCGAUAGCGCACAAGUAGAGUGAUCGAAAGAUGAAAAGCACUUUGAAAAGAGGGUUAAAAAGUACGUGAAAUUGUUGAAAGGGAAGCAUUUAUGACCAGACUUGGGCUUGGUUGGACAUCCGGCGUUCUCGCCGGUGCACUCUGCCAGCUCAGGCCAGCAUCAGUUUGCCCCGGGGGACAAAGGCGGCGGGAAUGUGGCUCUCUUCGGGGAGUGUUAUAGCCCGUCGUGUAAUGCCCUGGGGCGGACUGAGGAACGCGCUUCGGCACGGAUGCUGGCGUAAUGGUCAUCAAUGACCCGUCUUGAAACACGGACCAAGGAGUCGUCUUCGUAUGCGAGUGUUCGGGUGUCAAACCCCUACGCGUAAUGAAAGUGAACGUAGGUGAGAGCUUCGGCGCAUCACCGACCGAUCCUGAUGUUCUCGGAUGGAUUUGAGUAAGAGCAUACGGGGCCGGACCCGAAAGAAGGUGAACUAUGCCUGUAUAGGGUGAAGCCAGAGGAAACUCUGGUGGAGGCUCGCAGCGGUUCUGACGUGCAAAUCGAUCGUCAAAUAUGGGCAUGGGGGCGAAAGACUAAUCGAAC
Molecule: ribosomal RNA, 827 nt
Filed under: Calonectria pyrochroa
Lineage: Eukaryota; Fungi; Ascomycota; Sordariomycetes; Hypocreales; Nectriaceae
Description: eukaryotic LSU rRNA
Rfam family: Eukaryotic large subunit ribosomal RNA
Source: RNAcentral